Molecule: ribosomal RNA, 515 nt
Filed under: Staphylococcus sp. HMSC076E07
Lineage: Bacteria; Bacillati; Bacillota; Bacilli; Caryophanales; Staphylococcaceae
Description: bacterial LSU rRNA
Rfam family: Bacterial large subunit ribosomal RNA
Source: RNAcentral
AGAUUAAGUUAUUAAGGGCGCACGGUGGAUGCCUUGGCACUAGAAGCCGACGAAGGACGUUACUAACGACGAUAUGCUUUGGGUAGCUGUAAGUAAGCGUUGAUCCAGAGAUUUCCGAAUGGGGGAACCCAGCACGAGUUAUGUCGUGUUAUCGACAAGUGAAUUCAUAGCUUGUCAGAAGGCAGACCCGGAGAACUGAAACAUCUUAGUACCCGGAGGAAGAGAAAGAAAAAUCGAUUCCCUGAGUAGCGGCGAGCGAAACGGGAAGAGCCCAAACCAAUAAGCUUGCUUAUUGGGGUUGUAGGACACUCUAUACGGAGUUACAAAGGAAUAUAUUAGACGAAUCAUCUGGAAAGUUGAAUCAAAGAAGGUAAUAAUCCUGUAGUUGAAAAUAUAUUCUCUCUUGAGUGGAUCCUGAGUACGACGGAGCACGUGAAAUUCCGUCGGAAUCUGGGAGGACCAUCUCCUAAGGCUAAAUACUCUCUAGUGACCGAUAGUGAACCAGUACCGUGAGG